AAGCGUUUCUAUCCAAAUUUUCGC
This 24-nucleotide non-coding RNA is filed under the name Arabidopsis thaliana (thale cress). Lineage: Eukaryota; Viridiplantae; Streptophyta; Magnoliopsida; Brassicales; Brassicaceae. The record is from RNAcentral.